GACGAACGCUGGCGGCGUGCUUAACACAUGCAAGUCGAACGGAAAGGCCCUGCUUUUGUGGGGUGCUCGAGCGGCGAACGGGUGAGUAACACGUGAGUAACCUGCCCUUGACUUUGGGAUAACUUCAGGAAACUGGGGCUAAUAUCGGAUAGGAGCUCCUGCUGCAUGGUGGGGGUUGGAAAGUUUCGGCGGUUGGGGAUGGACUCGCGGCUUAUCAGCUUGUUGGUGGGGUAGUGGCUUACCAAGGCUUUGACGGGUAGCCGGCCUGAGAGGGUGACCGGCCACAAUGGGACUAAGAUACGGACCAGACUCCUACGGGAGGCAGCAGUGGGGAAUAUUGCACAAUGGGCGGAAGCCUGAGGCAGCAACGCCGCGUGCGGGAUGACGGCCUUCGGGUUGUAAACCGCUGUCGCCUGUGACGAAGCGUGAGUGACGGUAAUGGGUAAAGAAGCACCGGCUAACUACGUG
This 468-nucleotide ribosomal RNA is filed under the name uncultured bacterium. RNAcentral's name for it is "partial 16S ribosomal RNA". It matches the Rfam family "Bacterial small subunit ribosomal RNA", at positions 28 to 507 of the family's 1533-position model. The record is from RNAcentral.